Non-coding RNA from Sporocytophaga myxococcoides, 397 nucleotides. It matches the Rfam family "transfer-messenger RNA". Rfam says of the family: Bacterial tmRNA, also known as 10Sa RNA or SsrA, is named for its dual tRNA and mRNA-like properties. The record is from Rfam. NCBI's taxonomy places the organism in Bacteria, Pseudomonadati, Bacteroidota, Cytophagia, Cytophagales, Cytophagaceae.
GGGGCCGACCGGAUUUGACAGGUUGAGUAAUGACGUGUAUAAGCAUGCAGGCUCAUGGGAUGAGAGCCUUGAAAGAUAGUUCCGAACAAUAUCUGGCGAAGAAUCUUACGCCAUGGCUGCUUAAUCUGACUGAAUGUUAGAUUAGCUCAUCCUGAUAUUAGAUUAUCAGGAAGCCAUCACUCCUCAGUUCUUUCGUUUCGCGGGAACUGAAUACGGGGUGUCGAACAGUGGAACUAGUCAGAGUGAUGUUGUUAAACUUUGACGAAAUCUAAACAACUAAGGUAAAAUUUGGCUGCUGCCUGCCUGGUUUUACCCGACAAUUAAAGUCAGCUAAGCAUGUAGAAGGCUCGAUUAUUAGCUUCUCUGGACCAGGGUUCGACUCCCUGCGGCUCCACUA